CGAACGCCUGGUUCAGUGUCAACAAAUCAUCUAGAGGUGAGCACACUCAAGGGUGAGAAUAAAAAAAAAAAAAAGAAAUUAAGGAACCACAGAAGGAGCAAACAAAGGAGCCAUGUCUUUCUUUGGGUAUAAAACUUCCACGAUGACAAGGAUAUCUUGUACAACUCUGAAAAAGGAAAUGAUUAUGAAGUUGAUUACCAAGAGAACCAAAAUGGGACACGUCUCACCAUUCGUUGCAAUGUGUGUUCAAAGGAGUUGACUUCCUAUGAUCCUUUUGUCACCCAUGAAAAUGGGAAGCUUCAUAAGAAGGUAAGUAGAUAUCUUUGUAAUAUCUUUGUUUCUGUUUCUGUUUUAUUAUUUAUUAAUAUUAG
Molecule: long non-coding RNA, 371 nt
Organism: Penaeus monodon (black tiger shrimp)
Lineage: Eukaryota; Metazoa; Arthropoda; Malacostraca; Decapoda; Penaeidae
Exons: 4
Source: RefSeq, a predicted model, not a curated record